AACGCCUCUCUUCAUCUGGCAGCUGAUCAAAUGGCGGAGCUUCUUCAACUCGGCUCACUGGUUCUUCUUCUUCUUCUGCCAGACUGAAGUUCCCACCUUCAGGUCAAUUUGUUGUGAAUUCCAAGA
This is a long non-coding RNA of Corapipo altera (White-ruffed manakin), 126 nucleotides long. RefSeq lists it as uncharacterized. The record is from RefSeq and is a predicted model, not a curated record. The transcript has 3 exons. Lineage: Eukaryota; Metazoa; Chordata; Aves; Passeriformes; Pipridae.